CCUACGGGCGGCAGCAGUGAGGAAUAUUGGUCAAUGGACGGAAGUCUGAACCAGCCAUGCCGCGUGCAGGAAGACGGCUCUAUGAGUUGUAAACUGCUUUUGUACAAGGGUAAACCUGAAUACGUGUAUUCAGCUGAAAGUACUGUACGAAUAAGGAUCGGCUAACUCCGUGCCAGCAGCCGCGGUAAUACGGAGGAUGCAAGCGUUAUCCGGAUUUAUUGGGUUUAAAGGGUGCGUAGGCGGAUUGAUAAGUUAGAGGUGAAAUGUCCGAGCUUAACUCGGGAACUGCCUCUAAUACUGUUGGUCUAGAGAGUAGAUGCGGUAGGCGGAAUGUAUGGUGUAGCGGUGAAAUGCUUAGAGAUCAUACAGAACACCGAUUGCGAAGGCAGCUUACCAAUCUAUAUCUGACGUUGAGGCACGAAAGCGUGGGGAGCAAACAGGAUUAGAUACCCUUGUAGUC
This 460-nucleotide ribosomal RNA is filed under the name uncultured bacterium. Its description in RNAcentral is "partial 16S ribosomal RNA". It matches the Rfam family "Bacterial small subunit ribosomal RNA", at positions 338 to 795 of the family's 1533-position model. The record is from RNAcentral.